Molecule: ribosomal RNA, 253 nt
Filed under: uncultured bacterium
Lineage: Bacteria
Description: partial 16S ribosomal RNA
Rfam family: Bacterial small subunit ribosomal RNA
Source: RNAcentral
UACGAGUGCCCCAAGCGUUAUCCGGAAUUAUUGGGCGUAAAGGGUGUGUAGGUGGUUGUGUUAGUCUUUUGUUAAAUUCUUCGGCUUAACCGGGGGCAUGCAAAAGAAACGGCACGACUAGAGGGUGCGUGGGGUGAAUGGAACUCAUGGAGUAGGGGUGAAAUCCGUUGAUAUCAUGGGGAACACCGAUAGCGAAGGCAGUUCACUGGCGCAUUCCUGACACUGAAACACGAAAGCGUGGGUAGCGAAUGGG